GAGGGUAUUGCUUAGUGGUAGGGCACGUGCUUAGCAUGCAUAAGGUCCUGGGUUCAAUCCCCAGUACCUCCA
RNAcentral lists this transfer RNA (72 nucleotides) under Camelus bactrianus (Bactrian camel). It matches the Rfam family "tRNA". From Rfam's summary of the family: Transfer RNA (tRNA) molecules are approximately 80 nucleotides in length. RNAcentral also lists the same sequence under 1 other name. The record is from Rfam by way of RNAcentral. Lineage: Eukaryota; Metazoa; Chordata; Mammalia; Artiodactyla; Camelidae.